Molecule: ribosomal RNA, 1415 nt
Filed under: Hevea brasiliensis (rubber tree)
Lineage: Eukaryota; Viridiplantae; Streptophyta; Magnoliopsida; Malpighiales; Euphorbiaceae
Description: bacterial SSU rRNA
Rfam family: Bacterial small subunit ribosomal RNA (bases 412-1415)
Source: RNAcentral
ACUCUAACUCAUCCAUAAAAAGAUCGAGUCCUAGCGAGUCAAGCUCUAACCGCAUCUACCUGUUCUGUUUAUAUCCAAUAUCACACACCACACGCACGUCAACACAUGCACACUGCUCCAAAUUACCAUAAAAUAACAUUUAUAAUAUUUCAUCAAAUAAAGAUACAAUAUAAAACAUGUCUAGUAUUUAAUUACAUAAAUAUAUAUACUUAUAAGUGAUGCAUGGGCAUACCUGAACAUAUAAUAAUAUUGAAAUUAUAAUUAAAAUUAAUAUUUUACUCACAGACAUAAACCGAGGCCACUGUGGUGGCUGGACGGAGAAGGAAGGCUGUACCGGCUCACUUAACAAUUAUAUUAUAAUUAUUUAAUAUAAUUGACUCAAUACAAGUUUAAAAAGAACCAAAGACAUUCUAAGUUGUGCUAAAAAUCCGGCAGAAUUCCCCCUAUAUUGGGUGUAAAGCGUCUGUAGGUGGCUUUUUAAGUCCGCCGUCAAAUCCUAGGGCUCAACCCUGGACAGGCGGUGGAAACUGCCAAGUUAGAGUACGGUAGGGGCAGAGGGAAUUUCCUGUGGAGCGGUGAAAUGCGUAGAGAUCGGAAAGAACACCAAUGGCAAAAGCACUCUGCUGGGCCAACACUAACACUGAGAGACGAAAGCUAAGGGAGCGAAUGGGAUUAGAUACCCCAGUAGUCCUAGCCGUAAAUGAUGGAUACUGGGCGCUGUGCGUAUCGACCCGUGCAGUGCUGUCGCUAACGCAUUAAGUAUCCCGCCUGGGGAGUACGUUCAAAAGAAUGAAACUCAAAGGAAUUGACGGGGGCCCGCACAAGCAGUGGAACAUGUGGUUUUAUUCGAUGCAAAGUGAAGAGCCUUACUAGGGCUUGACAUGCCGCGAAUCCUCUUGAAAGAGAGGGGUGCCUUUGGGACCGUGGACACAGGUGGUGCAUGGCUAUCUCCAUCUCGUGCCGUAAGGUGUUGGGUUAAGUCCUGCAACGAGAGCAAUCCUCGUGUUUAGUUGCCACUGUUGAGUUUGGAACCCUGAGCAGACUGUCGGUGAUAAGUCGGAGGAAGGUGAGGAUGACGUCAAGUCAUCAUGCCCCUUAUGCACUGGGUGACACACAUGCUAUAAUGGCCGGGACAAAGGGUCGCAAUCCCGCGAGGGUGAGUUAACUCCAAAAACCCAUCCUCAGUUCGGAUUGCAGGCUACAACUCACCUGCAUGAAGCCAGAAUUGCUAGUAAUCGCCGAUCAGCCAUACGGUGGUGGAUUCAUUCCUGGGCCUUGUACACACUGCCCGUUACACUAUGGGAGCUGGCCAUGCCCGAAGUUAUUACCUUAACCACAAGGAGGGGGAUGCCGAAGGCAAGGCUAGUGACUGGAGUGAAGUCGUAACAAGGUAGCUGUACUGGAAGGUGCAGCUG